CAGUCGCCGCGGGAACACGUAGGGUGCAAGCGUUGUCCGGAAUUAUUGGGCGUAAAGAGCUCGUAGGCGGUUUGUCGCGUCUGCUGUGAAAACGCGAGGCUCAACCUCGCGCCUGCAGUGGGUACGGGCAGACUAGAGUGCGGUAGGGGAGAUUGGAAUUCCUGGUGUAGCGGUGGAAUGCGCAGAUAUCAGGAGGAACACCGAUGGCGAAGGCAAAUCUCUGGGCCGUAACUGACGCUGAGGAGCGAAAGCGUGGGGAGCGAACAGGAUUAGAUACCCCAGUAGUCCCUGUCUCUUAUAC
RNAcentral lists this ribosomal RNA (301 nucleotides) under uncultured bacterium. Its description in RNAcentral is "partial 16S ribosomal RNA". It matches the Rfam family "Bacterial small subunit ribosomal RNA", at positions 509 to 807 of the family's 1533-position model. The record is from RNAcentral.